This 429-nucleotide ribosomal RNA is filed under the name Bacteroidota bacterium. RNAcentral describes it as "Bacteroidetes bacterium partial 16S ribosomal RNA". It matches the Rfam family "Bacterial small subunit ribosomal RNA", at positions 355 to 776 of the family's 1533-position model. The record is from RNAcentral. Lineage: Bacteria; Pseudomonadati; Bacteroidota.
UAGGGAAUCUUCCGCAAUGGGCGAAAGCCUGACGGAGCAACGCCGCGUGAGUGAUGAAGGUCUUCGGAUCGUAAAACUCUGUUAUUAGGGAAGAACAAAUGUGUAAGUAACUAUGCACAUCUUGACGGUACCUAAUCAGAAAGCCACGGCUAACUACGUGCCAGCAGCCGCGGUAAUACGUAGGUGGCAAGCGUUAUCCGGAAUUAUUGGGCGUAAAGCGCGCGUAGGCGGUUUUUUAAGUCUGAUGUGAAAGCCCCCGGCUCAACCGGGGAGGGUCAUUGGAAACUGGUUGACUUGAGUGCAGAAGAGGAGAGUGGAAUUCCAUGUGUAGCGGUGAAAUGCGUAGAUAUAUGGAGGAACACCAGUGGCGAAGGCGACUCUCUGGUCUGUAACUGACGCUGAGGCUCGAAAGCGUGGGUAGCAAACAGG